This 396-nucleotide ribosomal RNA is filed under the name uncultured bacterium. RNAcentral describes it as "partial 16S ribosomal RNA". It matches the Rfam family "Bacterial small subunit ribosomal RNA", at positions 523 to 918 of the family's 1533-position model. The record is from RNAcentral.
AUACGUAGGGAGCGAGCGUUGUCCGGACUUACUGGGUGUCAAGGGUGCGUAGGCGGUACUGCGUGUCAGAUGUGAAAUGCCGGGGCUCAAACCCGGAGCUGCAUUUGAAACUGUGGUUCUUGAGUGAGGUAGAGGUAAGCGGAAUUCCUAGUGUAGCGGUGGAAUGCGUAGAUAUUAGGAGGAACAUCAGUGGCGAAGGCGGCUUACUGGGCCUUUACUGACACUGAGGCACGAAAGCGUGGGGAGCAAACAGGAUUAGAUACCCUGGUAGUCCUCGCUGUAAACGAUGAUGACUAGGUGUGGGGGGACUGAACCCUUCCGUGCCGCAGUUAACACAAUAAGUCAUCCACCUGGGGAGUACGGCCGCAAGGUUGAAACUCAAAUGAAUUGACGGGG